This 429-nucleotide ribosomal RNA is filed under the name uncultured alga. RNAcentral describes it as "bacterial SSU rRNA". It matches the Rfam family "Bacterial small subunit ribosomal RNA", at positions 28 to 480 of the family's 1533-position model. The record is from RNAcentral.
GAUGAACGCUGGCGGUAUGCUUAACACAUGCAAGUCGUACGAAGUGCGAUGGGGUUUACUCUAUCGUAUGGCAGUGGCGGACGGGUGCGUAACGCGUAAGAACUUACCUUUUGGCGAGGGACAACCGCGGGAAACUGCGGCUAAUACCUCAUAGAGCUGAGGAGCGAAAGGUGAAAACCACCAAAAGAGAGGCUUGCGUCUGAUUAGCUAGUUGGUGAGGGUAAUGGCCUCCCAAGGCGACGAUCAGUAGCUGGUCUGAGAGGAUGAUCAGCCACACUGGAACUGAGACACGGUCCAGACUCCUACGGGAGGCAGCAGUGAGGAAUUUUCCGCAAUGGGCGCAAGCCUGACGGAGCAAUACCGCGUGGAGGAGGAAGGCCCGUGGGUCGUAAACUCCUUCUCUCAGAGAAGAACACAAUGACGGUAUCU